CUUCUCCCCCACAGACAACAACAACAACAACAGCAACAACAGCCACAGAAUAACUGCACAUCAGGCAUAGAAAUGAUUUAUAUGGUUUAAGUUCGGGGUGGGGGUUUUUUAUUAUAAAAAAUACAGUAUUUUGGUUGGCCUGAAAAUGUACCUUAAAAUUAACAUUAGUGAAGAAGAAGAAGAAGAAGAAGAAGAGGAGUUUGGAUUUGAUAUCCUGCCUUUCACUCCCUUUAAGGAGUCUCAAAGUGGCUAACAAUCUCCUUUCCCUUCCUCCCCCACAACAAACACUCUGUGAGGUGAGUGAGGCUGAGAGACUUCAGAGAAGUGUGACUAGCCCAAGGUCACCCAGCAGCUGCAUGUGGUGGAGCGGAGACACGAACCCGGUUCCCCAGAUUUCGAGACUACCGCUCUUAACCACUACACCACACCUGAGGUGCAAGCCUAAUUACCACACUUGCUGCUUUAAUCUCGGUCCCUAGCAAUGCUUCAACACUGAUCUUGCCGUUUUCACAGUCACUAGGCUGCAUUUUCCACCCGGUCUCUUAUAUUGAUCUCAAGACAUUUCCUAAGAGGCUACAGUCCAUUCUGACCCCAAUGACGUAUGCAAGAAGCUUUAGAUGAAGUUACAUGCAAAGAUGAGUGAUGCUCUCUUCAACUGGCCAGAAACGUACAGUGGAACCUCGGGUUACAAACACCUCGGGUUACAGACUCUGCUAACCCAGAAGUAGUACCUCGGGUUAAGAACUUUACCUCAGGAUGAGAACAGAAAUAGCGUGUCGGCGGCCCGGCGGCAGUGGGAGACCCCAUUAGGUAAAGUGGUACCUCAGGUUAAGAAUGGAUUUAGGUUAAGAACGGACCUCCAGAACAAAUUAAGUUCGUAACCAGAGGUACCCCUGUAUUUGGCAGAUGGAAAUGUACAGAGUAAAAGAAAACCACAGAUUGCUGCACUUUCUCAUCCCAAGCUAUUAAUAUCAACAGGGGAUUUGUUGUCAAGUCUUGAUAGAAUCAGCAUUAUGCCAAUUGUGAAAAAACUGCAACAGUAUCUAAUGAACAGAUAUAAUUUUUUAAGCCUAUCGAAAGCCUGCCAUCCCCUCUGUGACUAGCAAUGAAGUGUUUAUGUGGAGGGAGAGGUGAGGGAAAUGAAGGUUUUGUUGAAAUCUCUCCUAGAUGAUUCAUUAUCAUCCAUGUUGUAAAGAACUUGCUGUUCCAGAAAGCAGGGAUUCUUGCAGAGUCACACAGCUGGAAGCUAGCAUCAUACUGACAAAAGCAGAUCAAGAGGAUAUUUACUGCUGAAUCCACUUCAAACUAGUGCUGCUCUAAAACCAAUUUCUCAAAAGUCCAUCCACUGUCACAACACCCCCCCCCCUUCACAAGUUGCUUUAGACACUGUUCAUCAUUUUUCAUUUCGGUGGGUGGAUGGGGUUGAGCCUACCAUCCUUAUUGUUGCUAGAAAACUAGCGGAGAUGUGUGCAUGCUUCUAUUUAGCAAUUCUGCAGCUUUUAUUCAGACCUUUGCUGUUUAAAACCACCAUUUUCUUCUGCAUCACCCCACGCCCACUUUACUCAAACUUCUGCCAUUGUUUAAAACAACUGUUUUCCUUUCAGUGUCGCUACCUUCUCGCUGUACUCAAACUUCUCCCAAUUCCAGCUGCCUUGUGUGAGAGAGAUAAAUGGUGGGCAGUCCUCAGUUAUUCCAGUGUAUGAAGGUAAAGGUAAAGGUAAAGGUAAAGGGACCCCUGACCAUUAGGUCCAGUCGUGACCGACUCUAGGGUUGCAGCGCUCAUCUUGCUUUAUUGGCCGAGGGAGCCGGCGUACAGCUUCCGGGUCAUGUGGCCAGCAUGACUAAGCCGCUUCUGGCAAACCAGAGCAGUGCACGGAAAUGCCGUUUACCUUCCUGCCAGAGCGGUACCGAUUUAUCUACUUGCACUUUGACAUGCUUUCGAACUGCUAGGUUGGCAGGAGCAGGGACCGAGCAAUGGGAGCUCACCCCAUCACGGGGAUUCGAACCGCCGACCUUCUGAUCGGCAAGUCCUAGGCUCUGAGGUUUAACCCACAGCGCCACCCGCGUCCCUAAGGUAAAGGUAAAGGGACCCCUGACCAUUAGGUCCAGUGGUGACCGACUCUAGGGUUGCGGUGCUCAUCUUGCUUUAUUGGCCAAGGGAGCCGGCGUACAGCUUCCGGGUCAUGUGGCCAGCAUGACUAAGCCGCUUCUGGCGAACCAGAGCAGCGCACGGAAACGCUAUUCCAUUGUAUGAAGGUACUUUACUCAAAACUCUGGUGCUGUUUAAAACAGCCAUUUUCCCAUCUCAAACUUCUUCCACUAUUUUAAACCACUGCUUUCCCCCUCUCAGUAUCCCUCCCUUCUUGCUCCUAUGCCAUACAGUCAUACCUCGAGUUGCGUUUGCUUUACGUUGUGUUUCUUCUGGCUACAAACGUGGCAAAUCCAGAAGUGUUUACUUCUGGGUUCGCAGCUUUGCACAUGUGCAGGAACAAUCUGCGUGCUUCACGCAUGUGCAGGAGAACUGUAUCGCGUCAUGCGCACACGCAGAAGCGGCGCUCUACUUACAGACUUUUUGGGGUGCAAACGGCACCCCAGAAUGGAUCGUGUCUGUAAGUAGAGGUACCACUGUAGCCUCUUUUGCAACCCACCUUCCCUUUUGCUCCCCUACCCCACCUUGACUUCAUGCAUUUAAUCUGGGAUAGUGAUGAGGGAUUACAAAUCCUCCAACGGGAGCUGCGCAAUGACAGGUUUACAUUUUUUUAAUGUAGACACAGGAAGAUAUAAUUAUAGCAAAACAUUUAAUAGCCCUAACGGUGCAAAACGUCCACAGCUUAGGGCAAUUUUCUAGGCUUGGGUUCCCAUCAUGAUGCUGGCUGCAAGGACCAAGAAGAAAUGUGGAAUCUGAAUGCGCAUUUACUGAAAUGGCCUGGAAGCGAAUUAGGUCUCUGGUAGUAAACAACCCUUGCUUCUGAUUUAAGGCGCUGUCCAAAUUAAAAUGACUCCUUAAUG
RNAcentral lists this long non-coding RNA (3009 nucleotides) under Podarcis lilfordi (Lilford's wall lizard). Lineage: Eukaryota; Metazoa; Chordata; Lepidosauria; Squamata; Lacertidae. The record is from RNAcentral.